Molecule: ribosomal RNA, 274 nt
Filed under: uncultured bacterium
Lineage: Bacteria
Description: partial 16S ribosomal RNA
Rfam family: Bacterial small subunit ribosomal RNA
Source: RNAcentral
AUACAGAGGGUGCGAGCGUUAAUCGGAAUUACUGGGCGUAAAGCGCGCGUAGGCGGCUUAUUAAGUCAGAUGUGAAAUCCCCGGGCUCAACCUGGGAACUGCAUCUGAUACUGGUAAGCUAGAGUUUAGGAGAGGGAAGUAGAAUUUCAGGUGUAGCGGUGAAAUGCAUAGAUAUCUGAAGGAAUACCAGUGGCGAAGGCGGCUUCCUGGCCUAAAACUGACGCUGAGGUGCGAAAGCGUGGGUAGCAAACGGGAUUAGAAACCCGAGUAGUCC